RNAcentral lists this transfer RNA (63 nucleotides) under Villorita cyprinoides. Its description in RNAcentral is "tRNA-Lys". Lineage: Eukaryota; Metazoa; Mollusca; Bivalvia; Venerida; Cyrenidae. The record is from RNAcentral.
GUUUUAGUAGCUAUAAAAGUGAUGGGCUUUUAACUCGUCGAAACAGAAUGUCUGUCUAAAGCU